This is a non-coding RNA of Equus caballus (horse), 592 nucleotides long. The record is from RefSeq and is a predicted model, not a curated record. NCBI's taxonomy places the organism in Eukaryota, Metazoa, Chordata, Mammalia, Perissodactyla, Equidae.
GUGGGAGAUGUGUGAAUUCAGGUGUGGAGAAACUCAGCAGUGAGAGAUGAGUCUGAGAAAAAGAGACAAAUCCCCUUUCAUUCCAGCUUCCUUUGCAACAAAAGGGUGAAGCAGAAAAAAAAAAAAAAAGGAGGGGGAAUGUAAAUAUGAUAACUGAAAAUUAGCUUUUGAACAGCAUGCUUUUUGUGCUUUGCAUGACAUACUGAAAAGUCUUCCAUUUAGUUGUUUUUUUAAAUUAUAUUUUGAUCACAUAUCUUGUAUUAUGUUGUUAAAAAUAACUUUUAUGUUCUUUCUUGGAGAAAAAAAUGUGGCUUGUGAUCGCAGGAGAGAAUACUAUAUUAUGAAGUCCAAGAUGAACAGGGAAAUCUUUUGAAUGAUACACCAGGAAGCUCAAAGAGCUGGCAAGCCACAGCGGGAUGGCCGUCCCCUGAGAGAGAGGAGAGGAGGAGAACGAGCCCAGCAGGGGCCUGGAGCAGCUGGCUGGCAUCAAUAAUUUCCUGCAGGAGAUUUUGCUGGCUGAGUACACGUCACCUGUCUGUUGCCCCUCUGCGUCUGCCCUGUGGUACUAAAAUAAACUAAAGCAACCCUUGGA